UUUUGGGACAGCUGGCGCAUAGCACAGCAACGGUCGAAAAUUUGAGUAUCAAAUUCCUCAGGGCUAUCAUGUUCCUCACAGUGUAGGCAAUCCGCACUGGCGAAUUCCUAACUCCUCAGUCAGAACAAAUUCCUCAGAGACCAGAAGAACUUCGUCUCUGUCACUGAAGAAUAUGACUGAACUGUAUGAGAUUUCCAAUGGCUUCACUCGAAGGGAUUGGUAGGUGUAGGAUUUUGAGUUGAGCAUCACAUGGAAAUUUGUCCUUAGUAUUUCCUCGACCCCCUUUAACAGUACGGUGUUUCCUAUGACUCAAGAAAGAGAAAAUGAAACUACGAAAACAAAAGUCUUCACGCUUCAUGUUCCUCGAAUGAAUACCAAGUCUUCAAGGUCACACCAAUUUCUUCACUUUCAAAGUCUUCAGAAAGUCUUCAGAAGUCCAAAGUCUUCAGUCGAAGAACUUCAUUUUUAGGGGUCGACUUUCUCUGUAAAUAUCAAACUCCUCAUAGACUUAUAGACCUGUGUACACUCAUAAACACAUUAGACCCUUAACCUAUAAGUCUUCAAUACACCAAAAUCACUAAGGGACACUAGAUGCACUUACAAAAUGCGAUAUUUUGGAUAGUAAAGCACUAGUGCAACAACACGAAAACUAUAUAGGCAUAGCAUGGGCAUAACUUUUUAUGACAAAAAACAACACAAGGGUCAAUACGGUUACAGUUAACAAAAAUCAUGCAAGAGAAGAAAAUUGAAGACCUGAACAACAAGUCGUCUUUAUAUAUGAAAAACAGAAAAUUGUAAAUCUACAAUUAACAAUUAACAAUGAUACAAUGAAAAUUAAAGGGCCAAUACAUGAUGUAGAAAGCAGCUCUGGGAGAAAAAAUUGUCACAAACAAAAACAUUAUAUGACGUGCAAGGUAUUUUUUUUGGAAUUAACCGAUGCGGCAGUUAGCUUUUGUAGCGCAACAUAGGUGGAAAAAAAGACUACUGCUAGUAGAAUAUACUAAAAUGGGAAGGGAGAAUACACUACCUACACCUAACUAUCAUAGAUGACAUGAACAAAAAUUUAUCAGAGAUGGGUAUAAAAAAUUAUGACGAGUCACUUUCUCAUACUAUCAUGGAGCGCAUGAACAAAAAAAGUGAACAAAUUCAAUAUAUAGGUUAACAAAUAGGUAUCAAUCCCAUGUUUGUCAUAUGAAAUGAUGCAGCAAGGAACACACAGUUUGGCAGGUCAGUAAGGCAAAUGUGAUGCAGUUCUUAGCCAAAUAUGUGAUGCAGUUCUUAGCCAUACUUCUGCAAAAAAAUGCAUAUAAUCCUUUGUCCCACAAAAAUAAAUGUAAGAUGAGUUGUAGAAAAAUAACUUUCAACCCCAGUAGGUUACUAAAAACAGGAGAAGUAGGUAAAAAUCAAAGCAAUGCGGCCUACAAAACACACCGCGUUACAAACUACAACAGAAAAAAAACCUACAACUAGAAAAACACAAACCGGGGAUCACACUACCUACACCUAAGAAACUCACAGAGGGGAGAAUUGACCUACACCCUUUAAAUCAAGUCUACUAAAGACACACGACAACAUGACAUACAUGUUCUUGUAUAUUCUACUAACUCCAACUUAAGAAAACUUAAAGAAUCAACUUAAGAAUACACUGCUCCAUGGAUAAGAAGGGAUAGAGGGCGUUUCCAAUGAUUUAGAAUAAAAGCCUUCAAUAACGGGUUUCCAAAUGGGUCUAACCAUGCAUCUGUUUGAGACCUCGUGAUUUUCCAAUAAACACUAUGCCACCCCUAUCCCGCACCCCUCCCAAGAACACAAACCAAUCCAGCCGGUCGAUGGGUCUGAUCUAACGAAAUACAAUCAAGGAGAUAGAGGAUCUAAAAAAGCCUAAUAAAAGCAGGACGGGCAUAGCGCAGAGGGAGCUAAUCUACUUGAAAUCUAGGUUAUACCUCAAAUCAGGAAAACCUAAAAAAAUAGGGGUGCGGAGGGGGGGGAGGACAAAAAACUCACUUUAUCGCCAUUCCCAGCCAUCUCUUCACCUCGCGGGAGUGAACAAUCCUCGGUCGACUCCUUCAUGCUCACCUUGACUCCUUCCUACUCGCGGCGGCCCUAAAAGAAGACAAAAGGGGAAUGGGGAGAGGAGGAACAGAGAGAGGUGGCCGAGGAAUGUAAGUGAUAAAAGAGGCAGCGAAC
RNAcentral lists this long non-coding RNA (2184 nucleotides) under Triticum aestivum (bread wheat). Its description in RNAcentral is "long non-coding RNA (TAES_LNC017801)". The record is from RNAcentral. Lineage: Eukaryota; Viridiplantae; Streptophyta; Magnoliopsida; Poales; Poaceae.